RNAcentral lists this ribosomal RNA (460 nucleotides) under uncultured bacterium. RNAcentral describes it as "partial 16S ribosomal RNA". It matches the Rfam family "Bacterial small subunit ribosomal RNA", at positions 338 to 795 of the family's 1533-position model. The record is from RNAcentral.
CCUACGGGUGGCAGCAGUGAGGAAUAUUGGUCAAUGGACGAGAGUCUGAACCAGCCAAGUAGCGUGAAGGAUGACUGCCCUAUGGGUUGUAAACUUCUUUUAUAUGGGAAUAAAAUGUUCCACGUGUGGGAUUUUGUAUGUACCAUAUGAAUAAGGAUCGGCUAACUCCGUGCCAGCAGCCUCGGUAAUACGGAGGAUCCGAGCGUUAUCCGGAUUUAUUGGGUUUAAAGGGAGAGUAGGUGGAUUGUUAAGUCAGUUGUGAAAGUUUGCGGCUCAACCGUAAAAUUGCAGUUGAAACUGGCAGUCUUGAGUACAGUAGAGGUGGGCGGAAUUCGUGGUGUAGCGGUGAAAUGCUUAGAUAUCACGAAGAACUCCGAUUGCGAAGGCAGUUCACUGGACUGCAACUGACACUGAGGCUCGAAAGUGUGGGUAUCAAACAGGAUUAGAUACCCGAGUAGUC